RNAcentral lists this ribosomal RNA (465 nucleotides) under uncultured bacterium. Its description in RNAcentral is "partial 16S ribosomal RNA". It matches the Rfam family "Bacterial small subunit ribosomal RNA", at positions 28 to 507 of the family's 1533-position model. The record is from RNAcentral.
GACGAACGCUGGCGGCGUGCUUAACACAUGCAAGUCGAACGGAAAGGCCCUGCUUGCCGGGUACUCGAGUGGCGAACGGGUGAGUAACACGUGGGUGAUCUGCCCUGCACUUCGGGAUAAGCCUGGGAAACUGGGUCUAAUACCGGAUAGGAGCCAUUUUUAGUGUGAUGGUUGGAAAGUUUUUUCGGUGUAGGAUGAGCUCGCGGCCUAUCAGCUUGUUGGUGGGGUAAUGGCCUACCAAGGCGGCGACGGGUAGCCGGCCUGAGAGGGUGGACGGCCACCAUGGGACCUGGGAACGGGCCCGACCCCUACGGGGGGCAAGCAGGGGGAAUAUUUCACAAAUGGGGCAAGCCUGAUGGCAGGGCGGCGGGUUGGGGAUGACGGCCUUCGGGUUGUAAACUCCUUUCGCUAGGGACGAAGCUUUUUGUGACGGUACCUAGAUAAGAAGCACCGGCUAACUACGUG